This is an unclassified non-coding RNA of Ictidomys tridecemlineatus (thirteen-lined ground squirrel), 78 nucleotides long. Lineage: Eukaryota; Metazoa; Chordata; Mammalia; Rodentia; Sciuridae. The record is from Ensembl.
AAAGGACUUGUAUGAACACAAGCAGGGAAAGAAGUAAAAGAGAAAUUGAGCUAAUGCCAGCAGGUCAGCUUUGAUUAA